Molecule: long non-coding RNA, 536 nt
Organism: Panicum hallii
Lineage: Eukaryota; Viridiplantae; Streptophyta; Magnoliopsida; Poales; Poaceae
Exons: 3
Source: RefSeq, a predicted model, not a curated record
GGCAGCGGAAGGUCGGGGAGCGCCUCCAGGGCGUGGAGAUCUCGAACGGCUCCACCUGCAACGCUACAGGUUCCUGUAAUCUUCUGCCUGACUUGCGUUGUGUAAUCUCCUGCCUGCCAUCGCCGAAGGUAGCCGCCCCCACGCCAAGGAAGGCGGCCGCACAGAAACCACGGCGGCGGUUCCUCUUGAGCAAGGGCGGGCGGCGAGGAGAAAGUCUGCGGCAACGCCGGCGAGGCGGGGAGAAAAGCAGUGGGCUUUCCUGGGCCGCCGCGUGGCCAUGGUGUGGUUGCCGUGUUGGCUGCUGAAGGUGAAGAAGGUUCGGGCGGGUGUGUAAACAUCAACAAUAGGCGCAUGAUGCCCUGAUGCGUUCGUCCUCGGGCUCGGGCUCACUGCCUCCGUGUCGUGUGUCUUUCAGGUACAUCCAUCACUACAGAGGAGAGGAAUUGGCCCAAAAAUAGUGGACAAAAUUACAAGGGUACUUCAUGGCAGAGGUUUAUAUGACUUUUCCGCAUUAUGUACAGAAAAGGAGAGGUACG